Molecule: long non-coding RNA, 303 nt
Filed under: Equus caballus (horse)
Lineage: Eukaryota; Metazoa; Chordata; Mammalia; Perissodactyla; Equidae
Description: lncRNA (ENSECAG00000056049.1)
Source: RNAcentral
CUGAACCUGGGCCAGGGGUCCUCUUUGCCUGAGGCCUGGAGCCUACCGCCUACCUCCCAAAAGGGCAAAUUGGAGGCUGAUCCCUUCACCUGCAACACCUGGGCUCGCUUGCCCUCCAGGGGGAGGUACCGGCAGAAGGAAAGGUCAGGAUAUUUCUUCCUGCUUCGCGUGGCCGGGCAAUUCUGACAGAUGCUGUGGUCCUUCAAGGCUACAGCUCCUGCAGGCGGUCCCUCCUGCGCCUCCAGCUCACGAUGGAUUCCAGGAACACCAUUUCUUCCCAGGGCCCCUGUCCCUGGGGGUCUC